AUGCCUCCUCUCAGUUGUCUGUAACCGUAGCUGACUUCACUGCUGUCACCCGUGAGGUGCGGGUCAUCCAAUUGAACCGAGCUCCACCCCUGUGUGCUCCCCCGCCAAUUCCCUUAAGUUUCAAUCUUGCGAUCGUACUCCCCAGGCGGUCCGUUUAACACCUACGCUCCGGCACCACAAUCCCACGUAAGAUCGUGACACAAACGGACAACGUUUACAGCUAGACUACUGGGUAUCUAAUCC
RNAcentral lists this ribosomal RNA (243 nucleotides) under uncultured archaeon. RNAcentral describes it as "partial 16S ribosomal RNA". The record is from RNAcentral.